UACGUAGGCGGAAUAAUAAGUCAGUGGUGAAAUCCUGCGGCUCAACCGUAGAACUGCCAUUGAUACUGUUAUUCUUGAAUGUAGUUGAGGUAGGCGGAAUGUGUAAUGUAGCGGUGAAAUGCUUAGAUAUUACACAGAACACCGAUUGCGAAGGCAGCUUACUAAACUAUGAUUGACGCUGAUGUACGAAAGCGUGGGGAGCGAACAGGAUUAGAUACCCUGGUAGUCC
RNAcentral lists this ribosomal RNA (229 nucleotides) under uncultured bacterium. Its description in RNAcentral is "partial 16S ribosomal RNA". It matches the Rfam family "Bacterial small subunit ribosomal RNA", at positions 568 to 796 of the family's 1533-position model. The record is from RNAcentral.